UACGUAGGCAGCGAGCGUUGUUCGGAGUUACUGGGCGUAAAGGGUGUGUAGGCGGUUGUUUAAGUUUGGUGUGAAAAUCUCCCGGCUCAACUGGGAGGGUGCGCCGAAUACUGAAUGACUUCGAGUGCGGGAGAGGAAAGUGGAAUUCCUGGUGUAGCGGUGAAAUGCGUAGAUAUCAGGAGGAACACCGGUGGUGUAGACGGCUUCUGGACCGUAACUGACGCUGAGACACGAAAGCGUGGGUAGCAAACAGG
This 254-nucleotide ribosomal RNA is filed under the name uncultured bacterium. RNAcentral describes it as "partial 16S ribosomal RNA". It matches the Rfam family "Bacterial small subunit ribosomal RNA", at positions 524 to 776 of the family's 1533-position model. The record is from RNAcentral.